RNAcentral lists this ribosomal RNA (440 nucleotides) under uncultured bacterium. RNAcentral's name for it is "partial 16S ribosomal RNA". It matches the Rfam family "Bacterial small subunit ribosomal RNA", at positions 338 to 795 of the family's 1533-position model. The record is from RNAcentral.
CCUACGGGAGGCAGCAGUAGGGAAUAUUGCUCAAUGGGGGAAACCCUGAAGCAGCAACGCCGCGUGGAGGAUGAAGGUUUUCGGAUUGUAAACUCCUUUUGUUAGAGAAGAUAAUGACGGUAUCUAACGAAUAAGCACCGGCUAACUCCGUGCCAGCAGCCGCGGUAAUACGGAGGGUGCAAGCGUUACUCGGAAUCACUGGGCGUAAAGGGCGCGUAGGCGGGAUAGCAAGUCAGAUGUGAAAUCCUAUGGCUUAACCAUAGAACUGCAAUUGAUACUGUCAGUCUAGAGUAUGGGAGAGGUAGGUGGAAUUCUUGGUGUAGCGGUAAAAUGCGUAGAGAUCAAGAAGAAUACUCAUUGCGAAGGCGACCUACUAGAACAUAACUGACGCUGAUGCGCGAAAGCGUGGGGAGCAAACAGGAUUAGAUACCCGGGUAGUC